Long non-coding RNA from Puntigrus tetrazona (Sumatra barb), 928 nucleotides. RefSeq lists it as uncharacterized. The transcript is spliced from 4 exons. Lineage: Eukaryota; Metazoa; Chordata; Actinopteri; Cypriniformes; Cyprinidae. The record is from RefSeq and is a predicted model, not a curated record.
CUCGUGAAUAUUAAGAAGCGAGCCUUCGCCUUAGUAGGAUUCGUGGUUCAAUAAUUCGCCACGGAUAGUGUUAAAUUUAACAUAUGUUUGUAAUCGAGCUCAGUGGCAGCGUUUCAUGGAGAAUGUGAGGAGCUGAUGAGACAGAAUGUGCAGCAUGUUGAGGGUAUAGUUCAGGAUCAGGAGCCACUGUGCCAUACCAUGCAUGCUAAACAUCUACUGCAGCUGAAAUGAUGUGAAUGUUUCUGGAACUGUACAGCUCAAGAGAAUUUAAUGAGGAGCCAGAAGACUUCGAAAACUUGUACGGACAUGACACGAUCACAGCGCGGUCGCAUUCACGCUCGCAGCCGCCCUUUAUUUGAGGAGUCACCUUUAGAACGCUGGGUCAGAGCAACAAGACGUGAAAAGUCAUAUAACGUGUAUGCAGUUAAUUAUGUUAAUGUAUGAACUGAUUGAUUUUCAUAGCAGGUUGUCUGGCAAUUUGAUGUUUAGUUUUAUGCGCUUUGGCAUUUAUGUCCUGUUAUGGAGCUGUAAGGUAUUGAGAGAUAUUCUAAAGUAACGUUAAUCUAACCAUAUGCUCAAGGUUAUCACAUGAAGUGGUCUGUUAAAGUUUUACUUGUGGCCUAUAACACUUGAUUCAGCUCUUAUCAUUAAACUUUGGGGAAUAAGAAAGAGGUGCAGGAAAAAGAGACAGAUAAAAGAAUCUAUGACUUCAUCUGUGUCUGUAGGGACAAAAAAAAGUGAGGUGCAAAAUUCAGGUCAGCCUUUUCACACAGGAAUAGAAACUUUUCCAUCUUUGUGUGUUGGUAGAGAGUUUGUUUCCUUUAAUAUUUUCAUUGAAAACCAUAUUUUUUCCCCCAAGAAUCUCCGAUUAAAGGAAUGUUUAAAAAAUGUUUUGUAACAUUAUUAAUGUCUUUACUGUCAAUUUUGA